Long non-coding RNA from Ictalurus punctatus (channel catfish), 698 nucleotides. Lineage: Eukaryota; Metazoa; Chordata; Actinopteri; Siluriformes; Ictaluridae. The record is from Ensembl.
AGAGAGACAGAGACAUACAGGCAUACAGAUAGACAGAUAGCUAGACUGAGAAACAGACAGAUAGAUAGAGAGACAGACAGGCAUACAGAUAGACAGAGAUAGAGAGACAGGUAGACAGACAGACAGAUAUAGAGACAGACAGAUAGUUAGACAGAUAAGCAUACAGAGAGACACAGACAGACAGGCAUACAGAGAGAGACAGACAGAGAGACAGAGAUACACAGAUAGAGACAGAUAGGACAGAGAGGCAUACAGAGAGACAGACAGGCAUACAGAGAGACAGACAGGCAUACAGAGAGACAGACAGGCAUACAGAGAGACAGACAGGCAUACAGAGAGACAGACAGGCAUACAGAGAGACAGACAGAGAGACAGAGAUACACAGAUAGAGACAGAUAGACAGAGAGGCAUACAGAGAGACAGAGAGAGAGACAGACAGACAGAGAGAGGUUACACAGUCUCAGCUUGGGGCAAUGUCAGUGUUUGUAAUAUUAUUUACCACUCAACAUAUUUAUAUUUCUUUAACACCGUGUCAGCGUGGGCGUGGUCAAGUGUCAGCAGUGGACAGAAAGGAGACGGGUUGAACCAGCAGGUAACGUGUUAUGAUUCUCACCUCUCUUUCAGGGAGAAGAGCAUGAACCCGAGAGAGGGACAGAGCUGACGGAGCUCGCACAUCACACUCACACUCGCACGCACUC